RNAcentral lists this ribosomal RNA (301 nucleotides) under uncultured bacterium. RNAcentral's name for it is "partial 16S ribosomal RNA". It matches the Rfam family "Bacterial small subunit ribosomal RNA", at positions 509 to 807 of the family's 1533-position model. The record is from RNAcentral.
CAGCCGCCGCGGGAACACGUAGGGUGCAAGCGUUAAUCGGAAUUACUGGGCGUAAAGCGUGCGCAGGCGGUUAUAUAAGACAGAUGUGAAAUCCCCGGGCUCAACCUGGGAACUGCAUUUGUGACUGUAUAGCUAGAGUACGGCAGAGGGGGAUGGAAUUCCGCGUGUAGCAGUGAAAUGCGUAGAUAUGCGGAGGAACACCGAUGGCGAAGGCAAUCCCCUGGGCCUGUACUGACGCUCAUGCACGAAAGCGUGGGGAGCAAACAGGAUUAGAUACCCCGGUAGUCCCUGUCUCUUAUAC